RNAcentral lists this unclassified non-coding RNA (234 nucleotides) under Hevea brasiliensis (rubber tree). Lineage: Eukaryota; Viridiplantae; Streptophyta; Magnoliopsida; Malpighiales; Euphorbiaceae. The record is from RNAcentral.
UGCCGCUGCCGCUGCUGCUGCUGCGGUGGCGGUGGCUAAGUUGGAGUCGGCUAAAUCUAAGGCGGUGGGUUGCUUCUUCUCUACGGCUCGGCGACGGGUUGAAGCCGUGGCUGGAUUAGCCGAGAUAGAUACUGUAGACGCUGACAUUUGUGGGGAAAAUUGAGAAUAAAACCCUAGAAAUUGAGAGGGAAUUUGGAGAAGAAAAUGUGGAGGGACGUAAAAACUUGAAAGUGG